AACGUAAACCCUGUCUGAAUUUUUAACACCACGAAACUAACAAUAACUUAAACAAAUCUGACGAAAACGCACACCAAUGAAUCAAUUUUGCAAUAUUUACAAUACAAUUAACAACUGCAAAAACACCACGCAUUCAUACAAAACUUUUUCUUAAAAAAAAAAAAAAAACGGGGACUGAAAUUCCCGCCAGGUUUAUUCACGCUCUUAUCCGGUCUGAUUCCUUAUCAGUAAGACCUCUCCACCUCAAUUCCGUCGCCUCCAUUAUAUAAUAAAGUGCGCAAACACCGAAAAUGCAAGCGAACCGACUUUUCCGCCUAAUCGCAAGACUGCGACCC
Molecule: long non-coding RNA, 335 nt
Organism: Zophobas morio
Lineage: Eukaryota; Metazoa; Arthropoda; Insecta; Coleoptera; Tenebrionidae
Exons: 2
Source: RefSeq, a predicted model, not a curated record